UUUUUUUUUGCUGUUUGUGAAACGAUUGUUCUGGAUAGUGAUAUUGAUGGUUUAAGGAAUUUGGAAAACUCUUUUGAAUUCUUAAGUCACCAAUUCUGAAAACUUGGGAAUGUUAGUCUUAACUUUUCUCAAGCUGUGCCGGAUGGGAUGCUGAUAUUUUUCUCUUCUUAUUACCUUGUGGAAAGUUGCACUGCAUUCCCUAGCUAGUUCUCGGAGUUGGUAGCAAUGCAGGACUUUUCUCUGCCGUUUUGUCGUGGAAAGGUCAGUGAAAGACUGUAUUUAUUCUGGACAUUGCUUUUGUUUGAUUUAGUGUCUGAAAUUCUCUAAAUAGACAAGAAACAGUGCUCGAUCUCGGGUAAAUAUAUAUAUGCUCGUUUUGUUCUGAUUAUUUUGAAUGUUAGCUUAUUGUUGACAGAUUUGGCGAUCUUAGCAACAUAAGAUAUCACUCUCUAGAUACGACCUUAUGUCAGGGUAUAUUUUCUGGUAGCUGAGGGUUAAGAUAGUUUCUUAAAUUUGAUGCAGAAACUUGCCUGCACAAAGAACUUUUCUUAGAUAAAUUACUAAGUAAGAUCUCUCUGUGUCUUGUCAAAAAUAUUGUAUAUAUAUGAGCAUUUGGCAUUUCAGCA
This 626-nucleotide small RNA is filed under the name Arabidopsis thaliana (thale cress). Its description in RNAcentral is "ATSL281250". Lineage: Eukaryota; Viridiplantae; Streptophyta; Magnoliopsida; Brassicales; Brassicaceae. The record is from RNAcentral.